UUUCCGUAGGUGAACCUGCGGAAGGAUCAUUCAUAAUAAAGUGUUUUAUGGCACUUUUUAAAAGUCCAUAUCCACCUUGUGUGCAAUGUUAGAUCUCGACAAUCUUGGCGAGAUUUUUAUACAUCAACUCAUUCUUUAACUAAUUUGUCUGAAAAAUAUUAUGAAUACUUAAUUCAAAAUACAACUUUCAACAACGGAUCUCUUGGCUCUC
Molecule: unclassified non-coding RNA, 211 nt
Filed under: plant metagenome
Description: partial contains small subunit ribosomal RNA, internal transcribed spacer 1, and 5.8S ribosomal RNA
Source: RNAcentral